GAGGAGAGUGAGGAGUUUUAGCUAGCCGCAGAUGUCAAGUGACGCAACGUGAAUUUUUCUACAGAUCCGUCAGAAAGCAUCUGGUUUAUUUUGGCGAGGACGCUCCCUGAAUUCAUUUUCUUCAUCAGUUUGGAGAAAAAUCACAUCAUCUUAUUUUACAAAACGUUUUUAAUUUUGAUGCAAAGAUUUAUACCUCCAAUGAGGCGUGGUGGUGCAUACAUCGGCGCCACGCUGUCUCAACGAUUAAAAAUAAAAAUCCGAGGCUUGUAAACAGACGGCUCAGCGGCGUGUUCAGACAGAUCCUUUUAUUCUAUUUUGAGGGCGUUUGUUUUAAAUAUACAACGGUUACUGAGUCACGGGAGCACCGCGGACAAACCGCUGAAGGUGGGGCUUAUUAAAUGUAAUUAUCUGUACGUGAAGCAGUCCUGUAAUACAGCUUAAACUCUCAUUAUAGAUAAUCAUAUGUUCUUUUAGAGGUUUUAUUUUACAGUUCAGAUCUGAAGGUUUAUUUUCUACCUGCUUUAAAUGUGUAAACGCUGCGAUCAAAGUUCAAUUUAUCGAGUUUUCCCCUCAUGAACAAACAAAUAAAUACAUUUAGAUCGAAGAUGUCCCACACUGGGAUAUUUUCUCUGAUCCCAUCAGUUUACUUCUCUGUAACCCGACAUCGACACACCGUGAGAAAAGUGCGCUCUGAUGUGGAUCCUGUUCAUACGAAUAAAACCAACAGGAACUGUUCGGAGCCGGUUUAAUCGGUCCCACAGGUCGGCCCGCAUAUUUCUCAGGUAUUACAAUUCAGCAGAAAGCUUUGAUUUGACAGCUUUGACAUCGUGCAGAAUAACCAGCUGCUGUCAAAGAAGACGCCAAUGUCACAAGGAUAAUAGGAUCGUAGUAACGUGCCCAAACCGUGAAAAUAAGGGUCCUCUGGGGCGUCAGUACCUGCUCUCACUCAUCCAAACAGAAAAUUCAGGGUUUACUCACAUUUUGCAGAGUUGGUUCGAGUCGAGUGAAUGCAAACAUGUCUGAAAAGAAUUAUUCUGUUUUCAAAAAUAUCCUUUUCACACCAGCAUCUUUAUCUCCAAAUGACUUGAAGCCCCCGUGACUUCUUCAGAUGUUGACCAUCUGUUUUAAAAUUAUCUGAAUUUAUUUAUUUGUGAACUUCUCUGCUCCUCUUAAAUUCUUGACUGUAUUCUGUCUCUCCAUCAUGUAAUAGAUAUUAUGACGUGUGCUGCUGACCUUACCGCCGUGUCAGCUUUGUGAAAAAGAUCUGAUUAAUGCGAUAAAUGGAAAUAUAUCCUGACAGUCACCUGGAGCAGUCCGGGGUUCAGAGGACACUUUCACGUCUUACUAACGACUCUACCACUGAGCCACCACCGCCGCCCCAAUAACUAAUCAAUAUUUUCUAUGUGCGUGCAAUGAAAACAAGAUAGAUCUUUAAUUCAAGAUUAUUCCACCUCGUCAAAAAUAAAGAUGAACUUCACCUUUAAUUCAAGCUCGUUUUACUUUUGCCAAGUUUUUCUAACGAUCCUCCUCCACCCAUCAUCUCAUCGUCUUUCCUGUUUGGAUGUUCAAACGCUGCAAAUGCAGAAUAAUUGACUCUGUUUUAACUGCUUCUGUUUUUCAUUCAGCUCAGAGAGUUCAUUCCAGAGCUUCUGUCUCAGCGUUCCCAUCUGUCUUUACCUCGUUUAAAUUCUGCCGUCGUAAAUCAUCGGAGUGCAAACUUGGCCUAAACCCAGCCGGUGUAAUUAUGUCAAAGAAAUUUAAUCUCCGGCUCACAGCGUGAACUAACUAGUCGGUUAGGUUUCAAGAAAAAAAGUUUGAUCUUUGGGGUUAAAAUAGUUCCUACUGUCAUGUAGGAUUAUGUAAAUACUUCACAUCUCCAGAUUAACUCCAUAUAUCAUCGCACACCAACGAGAGGACUCUACCGCUCUUUUUGAAAUUUAACCAAAAAAUGGACGUUAAUGUCGGAGUGUGAGUUUAUCUGUAGGGUCAGUGUCAUCUGGAAACCUCUGAUCAUCUGUUUUAAUUUAAUUUAAUGUGCUCUUAAUCCAAUUCAAAUCUGUACCAUGACCGUCCAUAUCUGUAAUUUGUGAUAAUGUAGAAGUGCUAAAUACUGCAGUUCCCUGAGUGUCCACUUGGGGCCGGCUGCAGAAGUAUCAUAGACCACAUACACAUUCAGUCAAAAAGUCAAUUUUUAUAAACAAAGUUUUUGACGACAUUUAGGGUCUAAACUCAGCUGGAUUAUUGUGACACACAGAGUUAAAAUCAUCGGUACUGACAGAUCCAUGUCAACCAUUAAAUAUCAUAAUAAAAACAACAAUAAAAACUAACAUUGUUAUUUUUUUUCCAUCACUUACUGGAUAUAAAACAGUGGGCUACAACAUGUGCAUGUGUAUUCUUGGCUGUGCAUGUCUAAAGUAAUGAUAGAAAUUUUCUGUUAGUUGUUUUAUGUUGUUUUAAUGUGUUUUUGUUUUAUUAAAGGGAUAUUCCGGCAUAAAACUAAUUUAGGGUCAAACACAUCGUAACACCGUAGACCCCCCUCCAGAGAUGAAUGUUGUCGACCGCUUGCUUCUCUAGUUAUACCAACUUUAGUAACGACCGCAGGAUAGCAAUACACAGCAGAUGUUCUUCCUUGAGCUGCUUCACCCCGCUGUAGUCCCUAACGGACUGGCCUGAGGUCUCUCUACGAACAAGCGGCUGCUGGAAGAGAGUAGGUGAGUUGUGUUCAGUCUCUUUGCUAAAGAAAUGAGUCAAAGUUAAAAAGAUGUUUGGUGUCUAGUACUAUGUCUGUGACCCUAUAUGUCCUGUUGAUGAAGUUAGGUGCUGUUCUGAGCAUUAUUUGUGGCUAUAGAGUGGCGUUUUGGUUGGGGGCGUGUCUCUCUAUAUUGCUAUCCUGCGGUCGUUACUAAAGUUGGUAUAACUAGAGAAGCAAGCGGUCGGCAACAUUCAUCUCUGGAGGGGGGGUCUAACUCGGUGUUACGGUGUGUUUGACCCUAAAUUAAUUUUAUGCCAGACUAUCCCUUUAACUAAUGUGAUUAAACGGAUGACAUGCUUUGCAAAAUGAGGUGAGAAACAUUUUCUUACCUUCGCCUGGACUGCAGAGACCUGGUUGCUUUUUUUGAGCUCGAGUUGAUUUCUUUCUCGUUGAUACUGAUGCAUAAGUUUUAUUUGACUAUCAUGGCCUGUAGAUAAAAUAAUAAACCUGUCAAGUGCAGACUUUUACUCAGGGCGUGGUCCUUCUUCAUGCAGAAGCUUCUUUGCUCUCCUGUCUUACAUCACUCUGUUGUUCAUCAUAAUAUGCAAAUCAGACAUGAUUAGACAAACAGGGAGAUUAUGACUGUUUAAUUACACAGCAUAAAGAAGGACACAGCUGUGGUUACGUCUAUUUUUGGGGAAAUGUGUUUGAAGGAGUUUGUCUGACUUUUGAAUGGGGUUCAUGUAAUUUUUAAUAAUCCAGACUCAGAUUAAAGGACUGAAGCCUGAAGCUCGGUAAAAAAGCAAAAACCUGAAAAACCACUUGAAUUUUUCCGAUUGUAAUUCAUGUUUGCGUUUGUGAUGUGAGUAAACAAAGACCGAACAAAGACGACUCUGCAAAUGAAAACAGAGAGCUUAUAAAGUCAAAGAAGAAGAAAAGGAGGAGCGUUUCGUUUUGUUGUUUUUUUUUGAGGGAAAGAAAAGACCGUCGAUUUGUCACAUUCCUCCCCGUCUCUCUCGCUCUCUCUCUCUCUCUCUCUCUCUCUCUCUCUCUCUCUCUCUCUCUCUCUCUCUCUCUUUCUCUCUCUUUAGCGCUGAAGGCUUGUUUUUAAGCCGAGGGCAGGUGAGGACAAAGUUUACAGCUGAAGCAGGUGAACGCCCUCCACAUCUCUGCUCACGAGACCGUAAAAGAAAUGAACCGGUAUGAUUUUUCUGCCUGCUCACUUAUUACUUUAUUCGACACACGUUCAAGGAGAAAACACGACCUCUGGAAACUCUCCUGUAACUUUAAAUCAAAGUUCGUAGACGUCUUAAAUAGUAAAACAUGUUUGGUACAGUGUCGAAUCAAACAGGUAAGUGACACACGGUGACUCAGAGGAAUAAAACGCGUCCUGGUGUUCAGGAAUUGCUCUUGCCUAAAUUCUGUGUUGGCUCAUGUUCGACGGAGACACGUGCCGCCCAGGCUCAGAGCUCAUUGUAUGUGUCAUAACCACAGAUCGCCGUUUAAGGAUGAUAAAAGAUUCAGAAGUUGAUUAACGUGUCGGUUUGGUCCUGCAGGUAAAAUAUUCCUCCCAGUCAUGGUGGACGCCAUCUUUGGGACCGUAGCGCUGUCCCAAAGACGGCUUCGUACAAUCAGUGAAAAAUCCGACAAAACUACCCGCCUCUCUGCAGAGUCCCUCAUGGCGAUAAAGAGCUGUGAGGAUUCCCACUUCUGUAUUUUAGGAUGAGUUAACAAUGAAGAAACUUUUCCCAAUUAGAGCGAAGAUAAGUGCAAGAUCAGUCGAUUAAGAGAUGUGAUUAUGAAACUUUCUAGACGGUCGUUUAAACUAAACUUUAGACAGAAUCUGUUUGAGGAGACGGUGACAUUUCCACGGUGCAGAAACCGACAGUUAGUGCUUCAGAGUUUCACGAAAAACCAGCUAAUGGAAGUGAGAGUUCACUGUCCGGUCGGUGUUGGGCGUAGCUGCAAAGAUCUUUGUCUUAUUUCUUAAGAAAAAUCCUGUUUACUGCAUAAUUAGUAAAAGUUUCAUCACAGGAUUGCAUAAGUUUUCUGCAGAAAUGA
Xyrichtys novacula (pearly razorfish) is the source of this 4753-nucleotide non-coding RNA. The record is from the annotation of a GenBank genome assembly. Lineage: Eukaryota; Metazoa; Chordata; Actinopteri; Labriformes; Labridae.